This 253-nucleotide ribosomal RNA is filed under the name uncultured bacterium. RNAcentral's name for it is "partial 16S ribosomal RNA". It matches the Rfam family "Bacterial small subunit ribosomal RNA", at positions 524 to 776 of the family's 1533-position model. The record is from RNAcentral.
UACGUAGGGUGCGAGCGUUGUCCGGAAUUAUUGGGCGUAAAGAGCUUGUAGGCGGCUCGGCACGUCCGUUGUGAAAUCGCCCGGCUCAACUGGGCGGGGUCAGCGGAUACGGUCGAGCUUGAGCAAGCUAGGGGGUAAUGGAAUUCCCGGUGUAGUGGUGGAAUGCGUAGAUAUCGGGAGGAACACCAGUGGCGAAGGCGGUUACCUGGGGCUUUGCUGACGCUGAUGCGCGAAAGCCAGGGGAGCGAACGGG